GAGUUUGAUUAUGGCUCAGAACGAACGCUGGCGGCGCGUCUUAAGCAUGCAAGUCGAACGGUAAGGGAGAGCUUGCUCUCCCCUAGAGUGGCGGACUGGUGAGUAACGCGUAGGUGACCUACCCUGAAGAUGGGGAUAGCUAGUAGAAAUAUUAGAUAAUACCGAAUAAGCUCAUUUGCAUAAAGGCAGAUGAGGAAAGGAGCUACGGCUCCGCUUUAGGAUGGGCCUGCGUCCCAUUAGCUAAGUUGGUGAGGUAAAGGCUUACCAAGGCAACGAUGGGUAUCCGGCCUGAGAGGGUGAACGGACACAUUGGGACUGAGAUACGGCCCAAACUCCUACGGGAGGCAGCAGCUAAGAAUCUUCCGCAAUGGACGAAAGUCUGACGGAGCGACGCCGUGUGAAUGAAGAAGGCUGAAAAGUUGUAAAAUUCUUUUGCAGAUGAAGAAUAAGGAUAGGAGGGAAUGCCUAUCUGAUGA
Molecule: ribosomal RNA, 476 nt
Filed under: Treponema sp. canine oral taxon 207
Lineage: Bacteria; Pseudomonadati; Spirochaetota; Spirochaetia; Treponematales; Treponemataceae
Description: bacterial SSU rRNA
Rfam family: Bacterial small subunit ribosomal RNA
Source: RNAcentral